This 250-nucleotide ribosomal RNA is filed under the name uncultured Pseudomonas sp. Its description in RNAcentral is "partial 16S ribosomal RNA". It matches the Rfam family "Bacterial small subunit ribosomal RNA", at positions 103 to 356 of the family's 1533-position model. The record is from RNAcentral. Lineage: Bacteria; Pseudomonadati; Pseudomonadota; Gammaproteobacteria; Pseudomonadales; Pseudomonadaceae.
CGGGUGAGUAAUGCCUAGGAAUCUGCCUGGUAGUGGGGGACAACGUUUCGAAAGGAACGCUAAUACCGCAUACGUCCUACGGGAGAAAGCAGGGGACCUUCGGGUCUUGCGCUAUCAGAUGAGCCUAGGUCGGAUUAGCUAGUUGGUGAGGUAAUGGCUCACCAAGGCGACGAUCCGUAACUGGUCUGAGAGGAUGAUCAGUCACACUGGAACUGAGACACGGUCCAGACUCCUACGGGAGGCAGCAGCG